This 85-nucleotide transfer RNA is filed under the name Chloroflexota bacterium. RNAcentral describes it as "Chloroflexi bacterium (freshwater metagenome) tRNA-Ser". It matches the Rfam family "tRNA". From Rfam's summary of the family: Transfer RNA (tRNA) molecules are approximately 80 nucleotides in length. Their secondary structure includes four short double-helical elements and three loops (D, anti-codon, and T loops). The record is from RNAcentral. Lineage: Bacteria; Bacillati; Chloroflexota.
GGAGAGGUCGCAUAGUUGGUCGAGUGCGCCCGACUCGAAAUCGGGUAGGCCACAAGCCUCGUGGGUUCGAAUCCCACCCUCUCCG